Non-coding RNA from Oryza sativa Japonica Group (Japanese rice), 2381 nucleotides. Lineage: Eukaryota; Viridiplantae; Streptophyta; Magnoliopsida; Poales; Poaceae. The record is from RefSeq and is a predicted model, not a curated record.
UAAACUCCAUCCACAGUAUCCACUCCGCCGCCACCACCGUCCCCUUCCUCCUCCUCCUCCUCCUCCUCCCACCCGCCGCCGCGGCCGCCGCUGCUCAUCACCAUCUCCUUCACCUUCUCUUUCCCCACACUCACGCCGCCGCCUACCACGCCGUCGUCGUCCUUCUCCGGGAACGGCCGGGAACUGCACCUCCAUUCCCACCACCUCAGCCGAGCCCCUCCCCUCUCGACCUCUCGCGGCUCUCUCCCAACGCUCUCUCUCUCUCUCUCUCUCGCUGUCUCUCUCCCUCCCUUUUCUCAAGCCGUCUCAUGGCGCCUGCCCACGGUCGGCGGCUGGCCAGCAAAGGCGGCAGCGGCAACCACGCCCUCCCCUCCGCCAGAUCCGGCGGGAGGGCAGGCGCAGUGAGAGGGCCUCCUCCGACGUCGACCGCAAGACGGCCUCCGCGCCGCUAUCUCAUCUUCCCGUUCUCUCCCCACCCCGAGCGAUCCAUCCAUUCCCCCUCCCCUCAAGCGAUUCCCCGGUUCCCCUUCGCAAUCCGCACUCAACUCCCUUCCAAGAUCCGAUUCCCCAACCACUGCUCAGUCGCCUAAACCCUAGCGCCGCCAUGGAUUCGGCUACGCUCUCGCCCACCACCACCAGCACGCAGCAGCUCGCCGCCGCGCUAGAUCUGGGACUGGGAGGAUGAGGGGUGGGUGGGUGUGGCUGCUUCUGCGGUCAUCGACGCCGCCCCCGCCUCCUCCUGCUCCUUGUUAUUCUCCUCCCUAGCAUCCACGAUCACGCUGCCUCCAGCCCUCUACUGGUACAUCCACGCUACCUCCAGCCCUCCAGCCAUCUAACCCGGGUCCUGCACAUAGCUCCCCUGAGGAACGCCGCCAUCAUCCCUUCUGACCACAUCAACCUCCACCUGGGAUUCUAGAUUUCAAGGAAGCAGAAGUACGAGAUGGGGGCAAAGGGGAUGGGCACCUGGUUGUUCUUGUUCUUUUCUGAUGGGGCAGAUGGGAUGGAGACUUGUGGGUGGAGCCGUGGAGGCUGAAGCUGUCUCAUCAGGAGAAUCCUUGAAACUAAGUCCAGAGGAGCGGCUGCAGGACCAGAGAAAGUAACCAUAUAUCAGCCACUCUAAAAUCAUGGCGACAAGGGUUUAUUGCUUCGUGCACAAGGUUCCUGUCUGCGGCGAAUGCAUCCGCUUCCCGGAGCAUCAGUUAUGCGUGGUGAGCCUCUCGGCCUGUUGCAUAUCCUUGGAUUCCAGAGUACAGUAGAGUGAUUGCAUUCUGAAUAAGUUAAGCUAUCAUGAGACUAUCACAAUGUUUCUAUAUUGUUUUUUAUGGUUGUAUUUCACAGUUUCAGCUGCCUUGUUGGGUAAUUGGGAAUUGUUGGUUAAUGAUAUAUUGGGCUUGAUUACCUUUAAACCUACAGUGAUGUAAUCAAAAUGUUCACAAAACCUUGUGCCACUAACUUGAUCCAUUAUCUUAAAAAAGUUUAGUAGGUGAGGCAGGUGAUGUUUAGCAGAUUUCAUUUUGUGUGAGCUUAUUACUUUGAUUCGAGCACAAAUUCAUGUUUGGCUAGGUAUAUACAUAUUGGAUAUGAGGUACAUUUGAGAUCUUUUGAUUCUGUCAGGAGGAAUUGGAACAUGCCAGCUACAUCUGAUAAUUCUAGAUUUAUUAUAGCAGUUUUCAGAUUGACUAUAAGAUAAUUCAUGUAAUCUUCCUGAGUUAUUUAACCACAUAGCUUCCUAAGAUACAUCAACAUAAAUUUGAUAUUCUCAGGUGGUAAAAUAAUUAUUCCAUAAUCCAGUUUAUAGCUCUGUUUGGAUCAGCUCUAUUUGCAUUUUUAAUGUAAUAGUGACCACUGAAAACAAAUGAAAAUGGCGUUGCAAGGAAAUGACAGAUGCAUAGUGGUUCUAUUACUUAUGCUAUGUAACUGCGUCAUGUGCAGGACAAAUGUGCCAAAAACCAAAUGUGAUAUCUGUUGGUUGCUUGCAGGUUGGCACUUUUAGUGGCCAGAGUAUUUUUUUUUGCGUUGGUUGCUGGAACGCAGGAUUUUUUGGCACUAGUUGCUGACUGCUGGCAGGAUGCAGGCCGGAAGUGCAGCGGCUGCUUGGUGGAAUUUUUUUGCUGGCUACUGGCAAGAUGCACGCCGCCGAAACUUAGUGGCUGCUAGGUGGAAUUUUUUGGUGCAGGAACUUGGCACUACCUGUAGGAACUUUGUAGUCAGCUGGGACUUGUGUAGUUGGAUGGUGGAUGGAUCAUUUUGUAUUCAUGUUUUGUGCUUUUGUAUGGAAAUAUGUUGGAAACUGUAUUUUGGAACUUGCUUUUGUAUGGGCUAGAAAAUUAAUUAUGGCUGGAAUGUGAUUAUAAUAUAAUUAUGCAAAUGGUUGUGGUUUA